Molecule: long non-coding RNA, 4416 nt
Filed under: Salmo salar (Atlantic salmon)
Lineage: Eukaryota; Metazoa; Chordata; Actinopteri; Salmoniformes; Salmonidae
Description: lncRNA (ENSSSAG00000102268.1)
Source: RNAcentral
UCUAGGUGGCUCCCAUUUUGGCUUCAGUGUUUCCAAGCGCAUGGAGGAAAGCGCGUUCUUUCUUAUUUAUCUUCGGUAAUGAACAUAGUAUUCUCCGUAUUAAAUGUUUUCAUUUAUUUGCGUAUUAGGAUACCUAAGGUUUGAUUAUAAAUGUUGUUUGACUUGUUUGGAAAAGUUUAUUAGUAACGUUUGGGAUUAAUUUUGUAUGCAUUUUGAUGGAGGGAAACUGAGUGGAUUAUUGACUGAAGCGCGCCAGCUAAACUGAGUUUUAUGGAUAUAAAGAAGGACUUUAUCGAACAAAAGGACCAUUUGUAAUGUAACUGAGAUCUUUUGGAGUGCCAACAGAAUGAGAUCUUCAAAGGUUUGGUGAAUGGACCAACCAGACCCUCAGUACUGCCAUGGGCAAGUCCCUUAAUUGGUACCAGGAAGGGUGGGAGAACAUCAUGAAGGUAAUUCUCUUUGCACACAACAGCAUCAUCCAGGCUUCCGCCGAGUACAGACGGGAGCCGCAGCUGUUGACUGAGAUCACUGAAACCCAACCUGAUGUGGUGGAAGUUGUCGAACCAGAUCAGAACGCCUUCGAGGACCACCUUCAGGGACGGACUGAGAAGGAUGUGGAAGUUUUUGACCAGGUGAGACUGAACAUCGACGAGGAGCAGGAGAAACAGAAGGAGAGCUACUGGAGCAGAAUCAAGAAGGGGACUAAGUGCUAUGACAUCCGGGCGUAUUAUUUGGUUUGGAAGAUGGACGAAAGGAAGAUGAACCUGGGAAACCUCGCUGCUCUUUCGCUCCUAGCUGAGGUCACCAUCUGUUAAAGGUUUACCUUGGUGGAAUCCAACAAUCUUCUCGUUGGAGUAGUUGGUCAGUGAACCACUGAAAGCCCUGAUGCCCUACACUUCAGUCAAGCGCAAUAGACAAAGACCAUCGACUCUCCGAGCCCCCAAGGAGAUAUGCCACCCACCAGAACCAGUGAGUUCGGAUCAGUCUGAUUGUCUGUGCUCUGAGUCGGAGGGGGACCAUCUUGAGGACCUAGGGGUUCUGCCCAACACCCAGACGUGGAUCCACCUGAUGUCCUUCAUUACAAACCACCCUCCUACUUUUUGUUACAUCAUCUACAGCAACUGUUAUUGUCAUAUUGUCAUUAUCUGCUAAGAAAGUUUUCUUGCUCUAUCAUACUGGGCCAAUAUAUGUGAAAUUCACAGAUUAACUGAAAACACUAGCACUGCAAACACUCAGAACAAAGAGAGCAGCAGUGCCUGGACUUUGUAGUCUCCCUCUUCAAUUCCCCCUUCCAUGACUGGCUCCCAGUUGAGAACAAGUGACAGGCAAGAACCUCCCACCCACACAGCAAUCACCUCCUCUAUAAUCCACACAUCAGAAUUCAGUAUUUUAGUCUAUGCCAUGUGAGUGGACAAAAAAUUUACCAAAAACUAUCAAAGUUUGUAUUAAAAUCUUAACUAUUGCCAGGUUGGUUUUCAUAGCUGUUUCACAAGGUGUUCAUUAUUGUAUAUUGUAAGGUAUGCUUUGAUGGUAUUUAUUUGUUCCACAUUAUUCAUUGUUGUAUCCUGGGACCUACAAUACAUACAUACAGUUGAAGUCGGAAGUUUACAUACACUUAGGUUGGUGUCAUUAAAACUUGUUUUUCAACCACUCCACACAUUUCUUGUUAACAAACUAUAGUUUUGGCAAGUCGAUUAAGGCAUCUACUUUGUGCAUGACACAAGACAUUUUUCAAAAAAUAGUUUACAGACAGAUUGUUUCACUUAUAAUUCACUGUAUCACAAUUCCAGUGGGUCAGAAGUUUACAUACACUAAGUUGACUGUGCCUUUAAACAGCUUGGGAAAUUCCAGAAAAUGAUGUCAUGGCUUUAGAAGCUUCUGAUAGGCUAAUUGAUAUAAUAUGAGUCAAUUGGGGGUGUACCUGUAUUUCAAGGCCUACCGUCAAACUCAGUGCCUCUUUACUUGACAUCAUGGGAAAUUCUAAAGAAAUCAGCCAAGACCUCAGAAAAAAAAUUGUAGACAUCGACAAGUCUGGUUCAUCCUUGGGCGAAAUGUCCAAAUGCCUGAAGGUACCACAUUCAUCUGUGUAAAGAAUAGUACGCAAGUAUAAACAUCAUAGGACCAUGCAACUGUCAUACCGCUCAGGAAGGAUCUCCUAGAGAUGAACGUACUUUGGUGCGAAAAGUGCAAAUCAAUCCCAGAACAACAGCAAAGGACCUGGUGAAGAUGCUGGAGGGAACAGGUACAAAUGUACCUAUAUCCACAGUAAAACGAGUCCUAUAUCGACAUAACCUGAACGGCCGCUCAGUAAGGAAGAAGCCACUGCUCCAAAAUGGCCAUAAAAACGCCAGACUACGGUUUGCAACUGCACAUGGGGACAAAGAUCGUACUUUUUGGAGAAAUGUCCUCUGGUCUGAUGAAACAAAAAUAGAACAGUUUGGCCAUAAUGACCAUCGUUACAUUUGGAGGAAAAGGGGGACGCUUGCAAGCCGAAGAACACCAUCCCAACUGUGAAGCACGGGGGUGGCAGCAUCAUGUUGUGGGGGUGCUUUGCUGCAGGAGGGAAUGGUGCACUUCACAAAAUAGAUGGCAUCAUGAGGUGGGAAAAUAUGUGGACAUAUUGAAGAAACAUCUCAAGACAUCAGUCAGGAAGUUAAAGCUUGGUCACAAAUGGGUCUUCUAAAUGGACAAUGACCCCAAGCAUACUUCCAAAGUUGUGGCAAAAUGGCUUGAGGACAACAAAGUCAAGGUAUUGGAAUGGCCAUCACUAAGCCCUGACCUCAAUCCUAUAGAAAAUAUGUGGGCAGAACUGAAAAAGCGUACGUGAGCAAGGAGGCCUACAAACCUGACUCAGUUACACCAGCUCUGUCAGGAGGAAUGGGCCAAAAUUCACCCAACUUAUUGUGGGAAGCUUGUGGAAGGCAACCUGAAACGUUUGACUCAAGUUAAACAAUUUAAAGGCAAUGCUACCAAAUACUAAUUGAGUGUAUGUAAACUUCUGACCCACUGGGAAUGUGAUGACAGAAAUAAAAGCUGAAAUAAAUCAUUCUCUCUACUGUUAUUCUGACAUUUCACAUUCUUAAAAUAAAGUGGUGAUCCUAACUGACCUAAAAUAGGGAAUUCUUACGAGGAUUAAAUGUCAGGAAUUUUGAAGAACUGAGUUUAAAUGUAUUUGGCUAAGGUGUAUGUAAACCUCCGACUUUAUACUUUUACAUUUGAUACUUAAGUGUAUUUAGCAAUUACAUUUACUUUUCAUACUUAAGUAUAUUUACAACCAAAUACUUUUACUCAAGUAGUAUUUUACUGGGUGACUCACUUUUACUUGAGUCAUUUUCUAUUAAGGUAUCUAUACUUUUACUCAAGUAUGACAAUAGGGUACUUUAACACCACUGAAUUUACAUUACUGUAGCAUAAUCUUUCAGCACUUCUAAGGGCAAUCUGAAACACAUAUCUUGCAUUGUUUGCUAUUGUAUUAACUGGUAAUUAAAACAACCACAUUGAAAAGAUAUCAUUAUGUUGUGCAGUGGUGUAAAGUACUUAAGUAAAAAUACUAUAAAUUACUAUUUAACCUGUUGGGGCUACAGGUUAGCAAUGAACCCCGAGUCGGGAUUGCUAACAAGGCUGGAAAUUCAAAACAUCAAAAAUCUAAUAAUUUCAAUUUCUCAAACCAUCAACUAUUUUACACAAUUUAAAAGAUAAACAUCUCCUUAAUCUAACCACAUUGUUCGAUUUUCAAAGAGGCUUUACGGCAAAAGCAUAAAGUUAGAUUAUGUUAGGACAGUACAUAGCCACAAAAGUACAAACAUCCAUUUUCAAUUCAAGGUCAGGCGUCACCAAAAGCAGAAACCAGCUAGAAUUAUGCACUAACCUUUGUCAAUCUCCAUCAGAUGACACUCCUAGGACAUUAUGUUAUACAAUACAUGCAUUUUUUGUUCCAUCAAGUUCAUAUUUAUAUCCAAAAACAGCAUUUUACAGUAGCGUGAAAUUCAGAUUUUUUUCUUCUCAGAAAUGCUUCCGGUGAACAUAACAAAAUUACUAUUCGAAAACAUUGGUAAAUUAUAAUAUUGUCAUUCAAAGAAUAAUAUAUUAUCAUCUCGUAAUUGCUACCGAAUGGCCAGAUCUCAAAAUAACUUUACUGGGAAAUCACAUUUUGCAAUAAACGGGGUGCUAUGCUAAGAACAACAGGCUAUGCUAUACAGUUAGCAUCAUCUAAAAUCGAUAAUAACAUUGUAAAUACCCCCUUACCUUUGAUUAUCUCCAUCAGAAGGCAGGAUCCCAGGUCCGGAAGGCAUUCCAGGUCCGGAACAAAUGUGGUUUCUUUUGACAAAGUUCAUAAUUUAUGUCCAAAUAACACCAAGUACUUAGCGUUCAUUAUGCUCCCACAAAACGUGGUUGGGGGGCUGGUAAAAUCACGCC